This 460-nucleotide ribosomal RNA is filed under the name uncultured bacterium. RNAcentral's name for it is "partial 16S ribosomal RNA". It matches the Rfam family "Bacterial small subunit ribosomal RNA", at positions 338 to 795 of the family's 1533-position model. The record is from RNAcentral.
CCUACGGGAGGCAGCAGUGAGGAAUAUUGGUCAAUGGACGAGAGUCUGAACCAGCCAAGUAGCGUGAAGGAUGAAUGCCCUAUGGGUUGUAAACUUCUUUUAUAUGGGAAUAAAAUGUUCCACGUGUGGGAUUUUGUAUGUACCAUAUGAAUAAGGAUCGGCGAACUCCGUGCCAGCAGCCGCGGUAAUACGGAGGAUCCGAGGGUUAUCCGGAUUUAGUGGGUUUAAAGGGAGCGUAGGUGGAUUGUUAAGUCAGUUGUGAAAGUUUGCGGCUCAACCGUAAAAUUGCAGUUGAAACUGGCAUUCUUGAGUACAGUAGAGGUGGGCGGAAUUCGUGUUGUAGCGGUGCAAUGCUUAGAUAUCACGAAGAACUCCGAUUGCGAAGGCAGCUCACUGGACCGCAACUGACACUGAGGCUCGAAAGUGUGGGUAUCAAACAGGAUUAGAUACCCUUGUAGUC